This 260-nucleotide long non-coding RNA is filed under the name Mytilus galloprovincialis (Mediterranean mussel). Lineage: Eukaryota; Metazoa; Mollusca; Bivalvia; Mytilida; Mytilidae. The record is from RNAcentral.
UUUCAAUUGGCAAUAACACAAAUACCUCAAUUAAAACUCAACAGUAUAUAUUGACUAUAAUUCUUCUUUUUCAUUUUUAGGCUAUAAUGGGAAGUUGGAAUAAGGUAAGAUUUACUUAAUAGUCUCCUUGUCCUUUCUAGUUUUGUUCCCCAUUAGGCCAAAUAAAAAUAUAUGUGUGGUUCCAGUUACCCUACCGUCCCUACUUUUUCGGCUUAAAAAUAGCCUACCCUAAAGAUUUUAUUGUCAUUUUUCAUUAACUC